AGCGGGCCGGGUUCUGGGCGGAGGGCCAAGAUCGAACAGUUCCCUCCAAAGAGUGAGCGGAGGUGGCAGGAGGUCUACAUGGGGGCUGCCCGCCUGCUGGCAUUGGUCCUCCCUAACUCCACAGGGUCCUGGUCCACAAUGAACCCCAAUAUGAAGCAGAAACAGGAAGGCACCCAUGGGCGCGUGCAGAGCAGUCCUGUCCUGAGGAGGACCCUGAAGAUGAUCCAGCCGUCCACAGCUGGGCCCCUCGUGGGCAGAGAGAAGGAGCUGGUUAAAGGCUCGUUCAAACCGAAGCAUCUCAGUGAUCAGUCGGCCUCUAAGACUUCCGGAUCUGGAGUCCCUGCUGUCCUGGAGCACAGUGAGAGCCAGGAGCUCCGAGGAGUUACCCAGGAAGCACUGGAUCUCAUGGCUGCAGAAAACCCGUCCUCUCAGUAUUGGAAGGAAGUGGCGGAGCAGCGGCGGAAGGCGCUCUCUGAAGCGCUGAAGGAAAACGAGAAGCUCUACAGAGAGAUCGAGCAGAAGGCAAGUGAGAUCGCCCGCCCGCAGAGGGAGAACCAGGAGCUGGGGGAGGUGGCGAAUCGCCGGACAGCGAGGGAUCUGAUUCUAAGGAGGAGGCGGGCGAGGAUCCGGAGGCGGAAGGCCUGGUGCAGGCAUGAGUGCCAGCAGUGUCUUCCUCCACGGAUGCCCGGCCCGGCGUGUGAGCUGUGCGUGUGA
Molecule: RNA transcript, 714 nt
Organism: Myotis brandtii (Brandt's bat)
Lineage: Eukaryota; Metazoa; Chordata; Mammalia; Chiroptera; Vespertilionidae
Gene name: geminin
Exons: 1
Source: RefSeq, a predicted model, not a curated record